UACGUAGGGUGCAGGCGUUAAUCGGAAUCACUGGGCGUAAAGGGCGCGUAGGCGGCCAUUCAAGUCGGGGGUGAAAGCCUGUGGCUCAACCACAGAAUUGCCUUCGAUACUGUUUGGCUUGAGUCUGGUAGAGGUUGGUGGAACUGCGAGUGUAGAGGUGAAAUUCGUAGAUAUUCGCAAGAACACCGGUGGCGAAGGCGGCCAACUGGACCAGUACUGACGCUGAGGCGCGAAAGCGUGGGGAGCAAACAGG
This 253-nucleotide ribosomal RNA is filed under the name uncultured bacterium. RNAcentral's name for it is "partial 16S ribosomal RNA". It matches the Rfam family "Bacterial small subunit ribosomal RNA", at positions 524 to 776 of the family's 1533-position model. The record is from RNAcentral.